RNAcentral lists this ribosomal RNA (253 nucleotides) under uncultured bacterium. Its description in RNAcentral is "partial 16S ribosomal RNA". It matches the Rfam family "Bacterial small subunit ribosomal RNA", at positions 524 to 776 of the family's 1533-position model. The record is from RNAcentral.
UACGGAGGGGGCAAGCGUUAUUCGGAAUUAUUGGGCGUAAAGGGCGCGUAGGCGGCCGAUCAAGUCGGGGGUGAAAGCCUGUGGCUCAACCACAGAAUUGCCUUCGAUACUGUUUGGCUUGAGACCGGAAGAGGUAAGUGGAACUGCGAGUGUAGAGGUGAAAUUCGUAGAUAUUCGGAAGAACACCAGUGGCGAAGGCGACUGACUGGACAAGUAUUGACGCUGAGGUACGAAAGCGUGGGGAGCAAACAGG